GAUGAACGCUCGCGGGAGGCCUAACACAUGCAAGCCGAGCGGUAGAGUUUCUUCGGAAACUUGAGAGCGGCGCACGGGUGCGUAACACGUGUGCAACCUACCUUUAUCUGGGGGAUAGCCUUUCGAAAGGAAGAUUAAUACCCCAUAAUAUAAUGAUUGGCAUCAAUUAUUAUUGAAAACUCCGGUGGAUAGAGAUGGGCACGCGCAAGAUUAGAUAGUUGGUGAGGUAACGGCUCACCAAGUCAAUGAUCUUUAGGGGUCCUGAGAGGGAGAUCCCCCACACUGGGACUGGGACACGGACCAGACUCCUACGGGAGGCAGCAGUGAGGAAUAUUGGACAAUGGGUGAGAGCCUGAUCCAGCCAUCCCGCGUGAAGGAUGACGGUCCUAUGGAUUGUAAACUUCUUUUGUACAGGGAUAAACCUACCCUCGUGAGGGUAGCUGAAGGUACUGUACGAAUAAGCACCGGCUAACUCCGUG
This 479-nucleotide ribosomal RNA is filed under the name uncultured bacterium. RNAcentral's name for it is "partial 16S ribosomal RNA". It matches the Rfam family "Bacterial small subunit ribosomal RNA", at positions 28 to 507 of the family's 1533-position model. The record is from RNAcentral.